AGAAGGCCUGCUGAAGACAGAGACAGAGAUUGGAGUUAUGCAGCCUCAAGACAAGGAAGGCCUAGAACCACCAGGAGCUGGAAGAGCUAGGUCUUAUCAUCAUCAACCUCUUCAUCUGAAUGAGAAAACUGAAGCACAGAGAAGCUAAGCUAGUUGCCCAAAGUCAUCAACUAGCAAGUGAUGGAGCUGAGAUUCAAUCUAGGCAGGUUAGUAGCAGAGCCUAUGAAUUUAACCGCUACUCUAUGCUAGAAGCUACUGACGGUGGCUGCCUUUGGGGUGGAGGCACUGCAAGCCAAGUUAUGUUGAUCGACUUUUACUGCAUCCCUUUUAUAUUGUUGGACUUUUAAAUAUGUAUUCCUAAAGGUAAAGGCAUUUCCACCCAGGAGGGGGCUUGACUGGAAAAUUCCUAUUUAUCUUUCAGAACCUGACUCCUCUAGGAAGCUUUUCCUCAUCCUGCUCCAACGUCUUUGCUCUCUGUGCCUAUCUGUGCUCAUCUCUGUGCCUAUACCAAGUACCUGAUGUGUAAUUCAUUCCCAGGAAAUGUUUGCUAAAUAAACAUUUCCCAAAAGCCACCUCUGGACCUUCUAGACUCUGUUACCUUGUCUAACAUUGCCUGCCAGACAAUUCUUCCUAAAAUGCUACUUUCUCAGUGUUAUUCCUUUGCUCAAAAACCUUCACAGAUUCCUAUUUCUUUUCCCCAUUGAGUUUCCAGGUUGGCAACAGGCAGGCUUCUCCCCACCUAACUAAUCUUGCUCACAAGUCCUUCAAUUUCUACCCAGCUAUCAAGACUUGCCUCCAGGAAGCUACAGAGGGUGACUUCAAGCCUUGGCAAGAGCUUUCUCCUCUGCCUCCUAUGAAUUGGGUCUCUACUGCCACAAUUUAGCACGUGACCUGUCUGAGAUUGCCUCUUACAACGAGUGAACAGGCAAUGUGGCUCUCACUUCUCUCUGGGCCCCGUUCUUCUUGGAACAGCAUCAUAAACUCACCCAGCCUCCAGGAGUGCAACAACAAAGCUUUACAACAAACGUUGGCAAUCAUAUGGGUACUCACCAUUUAGGGAUUGUCAUUGUGGGUCAGCUUAUAGAUUUCUUUGCUUCAUCUAAAAGUCCUUAUUUUUUGGCACCAAAAUUCUUGGCUGCUUCUUGAGGACUUUCAGUCUCCCUCCUCCAUCCUUUGGCAACGAAUGGUCCUUUCUUCAUUUCAAAUCUAUUAUCUUCCUGGCUCCCCUGUCCCUGUUGGCCUGCCCUUCUCUCACUGCGCCACUCCACUCCAUCUUCCCUCAGGAAGGAGCUAGGCUGACCUCCAGGUCUGUGUAUCUCACUGCUUACUGGGGGGCUCAGCCAGCAGCUGCAAUCCAUCUGGCCCCAGAGUGAACUCUCUAGGCCCUCUCCUUCCCCCGACAACCUCUUUCUCCUUGCACUCAUCCUGUCGUGAUGAAGCCAGCACCCCUGUCCCUACGCUGCUCUCGUCCCCAUGCUGGUCUUGUGCCCAUGAUGGUAGUCAUGCUUAACACCUCCCUCUCCCUUAGUUCCCAUGACCCCCAUCAUGACUCAUGCUAUUGUCUCUUCUCUCAAACUCUGGUUCUGGAAAUUUCCACCUGGUUACUCCUUUAUCGGGGUACCAUCUCCACUCUGACAUAUCCCAAACUGUACUCAUCAUCACAUGAAGUAUCUUUUAUCUUAAAACUGGCUCAAAAGAUCGAGUUUCCUGACUUUCAGUGCCACGAUUGAUAGGUUCACUAUUGAAGCAACCCGUCCUUUUCCUCUCCAGCUAGUCACUGACUCUGGCUGAC
RNAcentral lists this long non-coding RNA (1792 nucleotides) under Homo sapiens (human). RNAcentral describes it as "HSALNT0141420". Lineage: Eukaryota; Metazoa; Chordata; Mammalia; Primates; Hominidae. The record is from RNAcentral.